GCCCCUUCUUCACUCUGUCUCCAAACCUUACCAAAUCAGAAGUGUGAGUACAUUGGUUCCCUAUUCUCAUGGAAAUUAUAUUCUAGAGUAGGAAAUUAGGCUACAAGCAACCAUAUCAAUAAAAAAGAUAAUUUCAGAGGGUAAAAGUUCUACAAUGAAACAAAACAACGUGAUAGAAAGAAAGUGAUGAAAAGUUACCUUGAACUGAGUGGUCAGGGAAGACAUCUCUGUGAAGCUGAGCUCAUAAUGACAAGAAGCAGCCAGGUCAGCCAUGUGAAUGUAUCGGAACAGGACAUUCCAAGUGGUGAUGACAACAAAGAUAAAAGCUCUAAGGGAGAAACAAGUUUGUUUAUGAAAUAGACCUGUGUGGCUGGUUCAUGGUGAGCUAGCAUAUUAGUUUUCUAUUACUACUGCAACAAAUUAUCAUAGUGGCUUAAAAAAUACAAAUUUACCAUUUUACAGUUCUGGAAGUCAGAAGUCUGAAUGAGUCUCACUGGGCUGAAAUCAAGGUGGCUGCAGGACUGCAUUCCUUUCUGGAAGUUCUAAGGGAGUAUAUAUUUCCUUGCCUUUUCCAGCUUCUAGAGGUUGCUGACACUGCUUGGCUCAUGGCCCUUCCUCUCCACCCUCAAAACAAUGUGGGUUGAGUCUUAGAUUAUGUCAUGUUGAUGACCUUAUUUCUGUCAUCACAUCUCAUUCUCUUGACUCUUCUGCCUCCCUGUUCUUUUAAGAACGCUUCUGAUUACAUUGGAUCACCUACAGAAUCCAGGAUAACUUUCCAUUUUAAGCUGCAGCCAAGUGGUGAUGCCCAGGAAUGCCUCAGCACCUAUUGCAUUGCUCUUCACCAGAGGGACCUGGAAGACCAAACUGGCUAAGAAGAGGGAAGUGUCUGGUUUGGCCUGUCUCAGCAGAGGGGAAGAGUUCCAAAUAAGAAUGGGGAAGUUGCAGGGGCAUAAAAUCAUAAAAGAAGCAGACUCUAAGUGACUGCAGUUAUCUCAAGGUUAAUUUCUAUUAUCCAGAUUACC
This 1022-nucleotide long non-coding RNA is filed under the name Mustela putorius furo (domestic ferret). RNAcentral's name for it is "lncRNA (ENSMPUG00000031111.1)". The record is from RNAcentral. Lineage: Eukaryota; Metazoa; Chordata; Mammalia; Carnivora; Mustelidae.